UUUGCUACCAGAUGGUCCCGCAACUGGGGAGCGUAUUGGGCUAAAGCUGGAAUGAACACACUCAUGAUUUUAGCUUGAGUGCUGUGGCAAAGGGGCACCAUGUUCCUGUGGUGCCCUCUCCUCUUCCUGUGCUGGGCCUCCCUCCUCCAUUUGUGCCUGUGCUGCCUCCUCUUCCUCAGGCACAACUGACAGCUUUGUCAACAACAACACAGUUAUUUAUCGAAUAUUCCCCAAAAGCGAUUAUAAUCAUCAAUAAUGUAUAAAAAUUAUUUCUGGAUAAUAUAUGGUUAUUUUUUUUCAAUUAGAUAAAACAGUUAAGUAUUGCAAUCAUUUAUUACUAUUACUAGUUUAUACCCUUAGUGAUUAUUUUAAAAUUAUUUUAUUUUCAUUUUUUCAUUCUAUUUUGAGACAAUUACAGUCAGCACUUAUUUGAAAAUUAGCUCUUUUUUUUAAUUCAGUACAAUAUUUAAUGUGAUUAGUAAUGAAUGUCUAAAAAAAAUACAAAUACUUCCUUUUGCUGAGAUAUGGUCAAAAGAAGCAUUGGGCAAACAAUAGUAGCCCAAGAUUUUUGCACGGUACGUCACUUGCACAAGGAUUCUGUUCUUAUUACUUGGCGUAAUACUUUGACCUCCUGGUCGUCCUCUUCCUCUCUGGGCAUCUUAUCUGGUCCCUGAUGAGCUAAAGAGAUCAAGCAGGUUGGACUGUGGAUGCAAACCUGGAGCAUUUGAAAGCCGUGUGCUUACCUUUUGCCCUCACAUGUUGCUCAUUGCCUCUAGUUUCAUCAGCACCACUGGAAGACGAUUCCCAAGCCUGGCUUUGUGCGUCCAUUUCCUCAGUGUUCUCAGAGUUUUCUGGACCGGUCAGAUGUCUCUGUUUGUCGUACUGAGAAAUGGGCCAUCGCAAGACAGUCGUUACACGAGGAUAGCUUCACAUGCAACGUGCCGCAUUCUCACCUUGGUCUCACUGACACUCACAGCGGUGAUGACAACCAUGGAAUCCUUCACAGGUGAACCUUCCAUUUCCAUGUCUGCUUCUGUGGUGGGCUGGAGGUGAGGGUCACUAGAGGGGGGGGGGGGGACUUUUUAUAUCCACUUUAACUAACUAUUUUAUUUUCUGUGAAAAUACCUAUCUGGUCCUUUCUCUGAGAAGGAACGAGGAACACCAGAAUCUGCAAAAUCAAUCAUUAAGAUGUUUAAAUACACCUGCAGUGCUUCAAAUUUGAAAAAAAAACAUACUAUUACAUCCAAAAGUUGUCAUUUUGAUAGAUUAAAGUCAUAUUCUUAAACAUUCACAUUAUAACCGUCGUUAUACUCAUUGGGCUGCACUUUAGCACAGUAAUUACCAUUGACAUAGGCUCCGCCCCCUUCUUUGGGUUUGACUGGCACGUCAUCUUGAGAGACCACAAUUGGACUCUUUGUGUCAUCUUGUGCCUGAAACCUUUGUCUAAAUGAUUUCUGAUGAUCCUGAAACUGCUUCCUGCAUUUUGUAAUCUUUUCUUUGAAGACUGCCCUUGAUUGAUCAGAAAUGAAAUGGGGAAAAUAUACAAAAUAAACUCCAAAUAUAAUGUGCUAAACCAACAA
Long non-coding RNA from Syngnathus acus (greater pipefish), 1580 nucleotides. RefSeq lists it as uncharacterized. NCBI's taxonomy places the organism in Eukaryota, Metazoa, Chordata, Actinopteri, Syngnathiformes, Syngnathidae. The transcript is spliced from 2 exons. The record is from RefSeq and is a predicted model, not a curated record.